CUGUGAGUCUUUGGUCCUCAAUCUGCUCCAGGUUCAAUGAACCACCUGUGUUGAUGACGCGCAACAUCGUAGGUGUGUUUGAUUUGUGUCACUUGGCGUACCGGCCGGGUGGUGCCUGACAUUCCUGCUUAAUUAAAGCUGCUCCCUACAUCCCCCUGUGUCUCUGAUCUCUGCUACUCCUCUUUUUCCCCAUCUCCCCAUCCAUGCCGUUCUCUCUCUCUCUCUCCCCUGUAAUCACUCUCCACUGAACCAAAAAAGAGCGAAUGAGAUGGCACCAAGAGAGAACCGCAGGUGUCUAUUGAAGUGUUGACCAGCCAGGCAGGCCACCUAUGAGCGCCCACAUCCCACAAGCCUGAACUUGCCUGAAGGUCGCACCUUUCCGAGCCACCGCAUGCAGCUGCUCGGGGCCUCCGAGGCCGUGCAGUCCGGCACCUGCCUGCUGAGCGAAAUCAAAAAGAGCCGGGACGGACCUUCAAUCGCACCAAAGUCAAAAGAUUCUCAGCUUGUUAUUCAUCUGUCAAGAGCAGAGCUAAGGAACGUCUCUGCAGGGAACACACCAAUCUGAUAUCUGUCUGUGAGAUGUUUGCCCUUUUGUGUUCUUUUUCAACUGAUAUAUGUCAAGUAAAGUCGCAGCAGAGAAAUAUAAUGAGGAGAGCGAUGAGUAGCAGAGAAAAGUGGAAUAAGCUGGCAGAGUCCUGCAGAGAGGAGAGUGCAGGAGUAUCCAUAAUCACCGGAUGACACAUUGACAUUGUGUGGAAAUGCUCCAACUGUAUAAAAAUGAAGCUUACAACAAAA
Long non-coding RNA from Sebastes umbrosus (honeycomb rockfish), 795 nucleotides. RefSeq lists it as uncharacterized. The record is from RefSeq and is a predicted model, not a curated record. The transcript is spliced from 2 exons. NCBI's taxonomy places the organism in Eukaryota, Metazoa, Chordata, Actinopteri, Perciformes, Sebastidae.